RNAcentral lists this ribosomal RNA (1176 nucleotides) under Micrococcus sp. PR2S. RNAcentral's name for it is "bacterial SSU rRNA". It matches the Rfam family "Bacterial small subunit ribosomal RNA", at positions 44 to 1233 of the family's 1533-position model. The record is from RNAcentral. Lineage: Bacteria; Bacillati; Actinomycetota; Actinomycetes; Micrococcales; Micrococcaceae.
GGGGCUACCAUGCAGUCGAACGAUGAAGCCCAGCUUGCUGGGUGGAUUAGUGGCGAACGGGUGAGUAACACGUGAGUAACCUGCCCUUAACUCUGGGAUAAGCCUGGGAAACUGGGUCUAAUACCGGAUAGGAGCGCCUACCGCAUGGUGGGUGUUGGAAAGAUUUAUCGGUUUUGGAUGGACUCGCGGCCUAUCAGCUUGUUGGUGAGGUGAUGGCUCACCAAGGCGACGACGGGUAGCCGGCCUGAGAGGGUGACCGGCCACACUGGGACUGAGACACGGCCCAGACUCCUACGGGAGGCAGCAGUGGGGAAUAUUGCACAAUGGGCGCAAGCCUGAUGCAGCGACGCCGCGUGAGGGAUGACGGCCUUCGGGUUGUAAACCUCUUUCAGUAGGGAAGAAGCGAAAGUGACGGUACCUGCAGAAGAAGCACCGGCUAACUACGUGCCAGCAGCCGCGGUAAUACGUAGGGUGCGAGCGUUAUCCGGAAUUAUUGGGCGUAAAGAGCUCGUAGGCGGUUUGUCGCGUCUGUCGUGAAAGUCCGGGGCUUAACCCCGGAUCUGCGGUGGGUACGGGCAGACUAGAGUGCAGUAGGGGAGACUGGAAUUCCUGGUGUAGCGGUGGAAUGCGCAGAUAUCAGGAGGAACACCGAUGGCGAAGGCAGGUCUCUGGGCUGUAACUGACGCUGAGGAGCGAAAGCAUGGGGAGCGAACAGGAUUAGAUACCCUGGUAGUCCAUGCCGUAAACGUUGGGCACUAGGUGUGGGGACCAUUCCACGGUUUCCGCGCCGCAGCUAACGCAUUAAGUGCCCCGCCUGGGGGAGUACGGCCGCAAGGCUAAAACUCAAAGGAAUUGACGGGGGCCCGCACAAGCGGCGGAGCAUGCGGAUUAAUUCGAUGCAACGCGAAGAACCUUACCAAGGCUUGACAUGUUCUCGAUCGCCGUAGAGAUACGGUUUCCCCUUUGGGGCGGGUUCACAGGUGGUGCAUGGUUGUCGUCAGCUCGUGUCGUGAGAUGUUGGUUAAGUCCCGCAACGAGCGCAACCCUCGUUUCAUGUUGCCAGCACGUAAUGNGGGNCCUCAUGGGANACUGCCCGGGUCACUCGGAGAAGGUGAGGACGACGUCAAUCAUCAUGCCCCUUAUGUUCUUGGGGCCUUCCACCCAGCCUAACAGCGG